This 416-nucleotide long non-coding RNA is filed under the name Carassius auratus (goldfish). Its description in RNAcentral is "lncRNA (ENSCARG00000040454.1)". The record is from RNAcentral. Lineage: Eukaryota; Metazoa; Chordata; Actinopteri; Cypriniformes; Cyprinidae.
CAGCGAGGCUUCUCCCAUCGUUCGCCAAGAAAACCCCUGAUUGUCUCUCACUGAGGUUUUGAGUGAAACCAGCCCAGCUGAAUACCAUCUCGCAAGGUUCGCUCGGGGAUCCACUAAAGCAUACGGGAAUGAAGCCGAGGGUUAAAGUUCAUCUGAGACGAGAGCUUUAAAGGGGUCGACGCCGGGUACCCAAAUGACAGAGCAGAUGCAGACAGCCUGACCAUUCACCAACAUCUGGACCUCAGCCCAACAGAGAGAGAGACACAGAUGUUAAAAUUCAAAGUUCACUGGUCCAUUUUCUUUCUAAUUCUAAAUCUUCACAUUUAAUUAAGUGUGUAACUUGCUGUUUCUUUGUAAAUAAAUGUGAAAUUUACUACCAAUUUGUAAAUGAAAAUUGUUUCAAAGUAAAUCUUUCA